GUGGCUUUUGCUCUGGGUCCUCUGGGAUGGCGCGUGGCUGUGGCCGCGUGGUCUCUCACGCAGGGGCGCUGGGCGGGGGAACGCGGCCACCCUGAAUCUGGGGAGUCAACUGCGGCGGCCGGACUGUGUCCGAAGUGUCCGGGGCUGUGAACGCCUGAAGGACAGCGGCCUGGUCUCAGGCCUGCGUUCCCACGUUUCGAAACCGGGAGCUUCGUGGAUUUGUGUUUAGAUCAUCGACUAUGCCAGGGAGUUCUCCAGAUAAGCCUGGUUUUAUUUUCGUUAGUGAAAAGGCCCUACCGUAUAACUGACUUUAUGCUUGCCCUGCCCCCGUGUAAAAUAACUUAAAAGCAGAGUGCCUGGUUACGGCUGUUUCCACGUGCGGUGCUCGUCGGGAGCGAUCACCUACCCUGCAGGAUGUCCUUGGUGAGGAUUUUGAAAAUUUGAUCUUCACAAGAGUUGCUUGAAUCAUUUGAAAUUUCUGGGAGUCUGAGGAGUACUGACAUAAUUGCCUGUUGGAGUCUGUAAAUACACAUUUAAGACAGUGAGGAUGUGAAUAAAUAUAUUAAUGCACUUUGGCAUUUGUGUUU
This 587-nucleotide long non-coding RNA is filed under the name Pongo abelii (Sumatran orangutan). RNAcentral describes it as "lincRNA". The record is from RNAcentral. Lineage: Eukaryota; Metazoa; Chordata; Mammalia; Primates; Hominidae.